AGCCAGUCAGCCGAGGCUAAAAAAGUCAUUAUAUUUUUUAUGUAUUGAAAAUACUUUUACUAUUUCAUUCACGUAUUGUGUGGAAUUCUGUAAUUUUUUUAACGCACAGCCACUUUAAGCGCGAGACACAUUUUGAAAUCAGUUUUUUGCGUCUUCAUUUCAUUGAGUUGAUUUUGUACUUUACUUGAAAGGUAAAAAACUUAUAUUAUUAAUUAUUAGAUAUAUAAUGCUCAGGAUUAUGUUCAUCUUAUGCUGGAAACUGGUUCAAGUACGGUUGAAUUCAAAUUGGACGUAUUUAUGUCAGAAAGAACUAAGUAGGUACAAAUAAAAAAAUCACAUUUAUGCGAAGGAACUUUGUAAGUACAUACAGUUUGUGCGCUUCAAGAUCCCUUUUAAGCUAUUAAUAGGACGUAUUUCUAUCAAACGGAACUAUGUGCAUAAUGACGUGAGCCCUGUUAUGCACGUAUUCUAAUGGGUCUCAGGGCUCAUUUCUUAAUGCGCAUAGUUCUGUUUGGCAGAAAUACGUCCAAUACAUCCCACUCUUACAAUUAGUUCAACAGCCAUGCCUCGUAUUUUUCAUCACUUUAAGUUCGUGAUAAAUUGGAGUCCCACACAUUUUCAUAGCUAUUAGGAUCUUGCUUGACACGUACAUGUCAAUUUUCACUUAGGUACUACAAGAUGCAGGGCUUGACUAGAGCACUACUGGCUUACUUUCCUGUCUCAGCUGGCGACUUGAAAUCAUAUGUCAAGCUCUCCUUGAAGGUUGCUUAUACAUUUUAUAUUUUGACAGUAUUAUGUUUUUUUCUCUCUUCCUGCGUCACUGAACUUUAUUUUUUUAUCGAAUUGCUGAGUUUGGAGGAGGGAAAGCACAAAAAUGACGCGAUCAAGAAUAAUUUCGUCCUCCAAAAUCAAAAUCUUAAUAACCUACAAUAAAUUGUUGAAGACAAAAUUUAAGGUUAUGUAGUGGCCUUGGAGACCAUGAGUGAGCUGUGCAAGUUUGGUUUGUUUACCCUCAUGGUUCAAGAAGGCAUCACCUCGACUCAUGAACAAACGAUCCAUCAUCACAUUCAUAUUGGAUAUUAUCAAUGGAAGAGUUUUCUAGUUCAAGGCGUUGAAGCUGUCACAAAUGGGACAUAUUGGGCAUUCGGAAUCAUCAUACUUGGUUACUUAUUCUAUCUGAUAUUCGUGAGACAGAUCGUUGCUAAUUUAUCCGACACCAAGAAUCCCUUCAAGAGGCUAGAAACACCACUAGAAGAUCCAAAUGUAUCUGCCGAUUACGCAAACAGCACAACAUCUUUUUUCACACAUGAUUAUGAUUCUACACCGUUCACCGUUCCCUAUGUUCCUUCUUUCACGCUCAGGUGAAUAAAUCAGCCCAAUAAUGUGUUACAAAAGUAGUCUCUUUUAGCAUGACAUAAAUGAUAAAAUUGUAAUCUUCUCGGCAUAU
Molecule: long non-coding RNA, 1447 nt
Filed under: Bemisia tabaci
Lineage: Eukaryota; Metazoa; Arthropoda; Insecta; Hemiptera; Aleyrodidae
Description: lncRNA ENSSSA1UGG013772
Source: RNAcentral